CCCUUAGACGUUCUGGGCCGCACGCGCGCUACACUGACCAGUGCAACAAGCAUCCGUCCUUGGCCGACAGUCCCGGGCAAUCUUUGAACGCUGGUCGUGAUGGGGAUAGACUUUUGCAAUUUUUGGUCUUCAACGAGGAAUUCCUAGUAAACGCAAGUCAUCAACUUGCAUUGAUUACGUCCCUGCCCUUUGUACACACCGCCCGUCGCACCUACCGAUUGAAUGGUCCGGUGAAGCCUCCGGAUUGGCGCGCACCUCGGUGCCGCCGAGAAGUUGGCUAAACCUUACCAUUUAGAGGAAGGUGAAGUCGUAACA
RNAcentral lists this ribosomal RNA (315 nucleotides) under uncultured eukaryote. RNAcentral's name for it is "partial 18S ribosomal RNA". It matches the Rfam family "Eukaryotic small subunit ribosomal RNA", at positions 1470 to 1796 of the family's 1831-position model. The record is from RNAcentral.